AAGGCUUGGUUAGUGUUUUGGAGUCAAAUAUGACUAGAUGUCAUGUGUAUGAUUGUGUAUAAGAACUAGAACUGCAACCGGUUCCCGAAAGCUAAAGGAGUAUUUCCUUGUUAGAAGAUACAAAGCGAAAGACUCAUACAGACUUCGCCUACACCAUCAAAGCUUUGAGAAGC
This 173-nucleotide small RNA is filed under the name Arabidopsis thaliana (thale cress). Its description in RNAcentral is "ATSL040220". Lineage: Eukaryota; Viridiplantae; Streptophyta; Magnoliopsida; Brassicales; Brassicaceae. The record is from RNAcentral.